CCUACGGGAGGCUGCAGUGAGGAAUCUUGCACAAUGGGCGAAAGCCUGAUGCAGCAACGCCGCGUGAGGGAUGAAGGCUUUCGGGUUGUAAACCUCUUUUAGUGGGGGCGAAAAAAAUGACAGUACCCACAGAAAAAGCACCGGCUAACUCCGUGCCAGCAGCCGCGGUAAUACGGAGGGUGCAAGCGUUAUUCGGAAUUAUUGGGCGUAAAGGGCGCGUAGGCUGCCUUGUAAGUUUGGUGUGAAAUCCCUGGGCUCAACCCAGGAAGUGCAUUGAAUACUGCAAGGCUAGAGUGUUGGAGAGGUGGGUGGAAUUCCAGGUGUAGAGGUGAAAUUCGUAGAUAUCUGGAGGAACAUCAGUGGCGAAGGCGGCCCACUGGACAACAACUGACGCUGAGGCGCGAAAGCGUGGGGAGCAAACAGGCUUAGAUACCCCAGUAGUC
RNAcentral lists this ribosomal RNA (443 nucleotides) under uncultured bacterium. RNAcentral describes it as "bacterial SSU rRNA". It matches the Rfam family "Bacterial small subunit ribosomal RNA", at positions 338 to 795 of the family's 1533-position model. The record is from RNAcentral.